Molecule: ribosomal RNA, 253 nt
Filed under: uncultured bacterium
Lineage: Bacteria
Description: partial 16S ribosomal RNA
Rfam family: Bacterial small subunit ribosomal RNA
Source: RNAcentral
UACGGAGGGGGCAAGCGUUGUUCGGAAUUACUGGGCGUAAAGGGCUCGUAGGUGGUCAACUAAGUCGGACGUGAAAUCCCUCGGCUUAACCGGGGAACUGCGUCCGAUACUGGAUGACUUGAGUUCGGGAGAGGGAUGCGGAAUUCCAGGUGUAGCGGUGAAAUGCGUAGAUAUCUGGAGGAACACCGGUGGCGAAGGCGGCAUCCUGGACCGACACUGACGCUGAGGAGCGAAAGCCAGGGGAGCAAACGGG